Molecule: unclassified non-coding RNA, 884 nt
Filed under: Trichurus spiralis
Lineage: Eukaryota; Fungi; Ascomycota; Sordariomycetes; Microascales; Microascaceae
Description: sequence contains ITS1, 5.8S rRNA gene and ITS2
Rfam family: Eukaryotic large subunit ribosomal RNA
Source: RNAcentral
GCGGAGGAAAAGAAACCAACAGGGAUUGCCUCAGUAACGGCGAGUGAAGCGGCAACAGCUCAAAUUUGAAAUCUGGUCCCCUCUGGGGGCCCGAGUUGUAAUUUGAAGAGGAUGCUUUUGGCGAGGCGCCUUCCGAGUGCCCUGGAACGGGACGCCACAGAGGGUGAGAGCCCCGUAUGGUAGGACGCCGAGCCUCUGUAAAGCUCCUUCGACGAGUCGAGUAGUUUGGGAAUGCUGCUCAAAAUGGGAGGUAAACCCCUUCUAAAGCUAAAUAUUGGCCAGAGACCGAUAGCGCACAAGUAGAGUGAUCGAAAGAUGAAAAGCACUUUGAAAAGAGAGUUAAACAGCACGUGAAAUUGUUGAAAGGGAAGCGCUUGCGACCAGACUUGCGCCCGUCGGAUCAACCGUCCCUCGUGGGCGGCGCACUCCGGCGGGCUCAGGCCAGCAUCAGUUUUCCUGGGGGUAGAAAGGCGGUGGGAAUGUAGCUCUUCGGAGUGUUAUAGCCCGCCGCGUAAUGCCCUCGGGGGGACUGAGGACCGCGCGUAUGCAAGGAUGCUGGCGUAAUGGUCGUCAGCGACCCGUCUUGAAACACGGACCAAGGAGUCGUCCUAAUAUGCGAGUGUACGGGUGUAAAACCCCUGCGCGUAAUGAAAGUGAACGGAGGUGAGAGCUUCGGCGCAUCAUCGACCGAUCCUGAUGUUCUCGGAUGGAUUUGAGUAAGAGCAUAUUGGGCCGGACCCGAAAGAAGGUGAACUAUGCCUGUAUAGGGUGAAGCCAGAGGAAACUCUGGUGGAGGCUCGCAGCGGUUCUGACGUGCAAAUCGAUCGUCAAAUAUGGGCAUGGGGGCGAAAGACUAAUCGAACCUUCUAGUAGCUGGUUUCGCC